RNAcentral lists this ribosomal RNA (253 nucleotides) under uncultured bacterium. Its description in RNAcentral is "partial 16S ribosomal RNA". It matches the Rfam family "Bacterial small subunit ribosomal RNA", at positions 524 to 776 of the family's 1533-position model. The record is from RNAcentral.
UACGGAGGGUGCGAGCGUUAAUCGGAAUAACUGGGCGUAAAGGGCACGCAGGCGGUCUUUUAAGUCAGAUGUGAAAUCCCCGGGCUUAACCUGGGAAUAGCAUUUCAGACUGGGAGUCUAGAGUCCUGUAGAGAGGGGUAGAAUUCCACGUGUAGCGGUGAAAUGCGUAGAGAUGUGGAGGAAUACCGGAGGCGAAGGCAGCCCCUUGGGAAUGGACUGACGCUCAGGUGCGAAAGCGUGGGGAGCAAACAGG